ACGGAUUGAUACUCUCAUAUCUUAAUUGAUUGCUCAUUUCUGGCACUAUCUCCAAGUCUAAACGGUACAAACAAGAAGCUGCAAAAUUUAAAGCUGAGAUAGGCAUUCAAUGCUAGAAGGUGAUGGAACAAAUGGAAAACUUCCUUUGAAACCUAUUAUAUACUUCCAGACAUGGAGAGUUGGUACAGAGGUCUUUCCAAUCAAUAGCUUCUUGGCCAAUCAAGACCAAACUUUGCCAAAAGUGCGAAUGCAAAGUGCUCUCUCUCUUAAAAAGAAGGCCAAUUGUGAGUGAGACAUUCAAGGUUUUGUAGAAGCGAAUGGCAGCUGAAGGUUAAGAGCCAUCGAGAAUAGGAAUGUUUUUUUAUUCAUGUGUAGCUAGCUAAGAAUGCUCUUGUUUGGUGCAUUAUCUUGUUACU
Long non-coding RNA from Rosa chinensis, 416 nucleotides. RefSeq lists it as uncharacterized. Lineage: Eukaryota; Viridiplantae; Streptophyta; Magnoliopsida; Rosales; Rosaceae. The transcript has 3 exons. The record is from RefSeq and is a predicted model, not a curated record.